UUUAAGCAAAUCUGAUAUAAUAAAUAUGUACAUGUCAUUAUCAUAUGAAGUAACACCUUUGUUUGUGUAUUCAUUCAAUGUAUACACAUAGUAGUAGUAGAUACAUAAGACUUGAGCACGUUUUUGCCGUCUCAAGUAUCAAAAACAUUGUAAAUAAUCAAAGCAAGUUUUGUGGACCUUGAUCGACUCGAGGAUAGAUAAGAUAACGUCUCCCUUUCAUACAUUCUGCUCUCUUCUCAACACACACCGAUAGACACGGGAUUCAACUUAAAGCUCCUCUGGAUUUUCAUUUUUAUUAUCUCUUCUUUUCCAUUUUUAGUGUCACUGUUCCUCACCAGAGGGAGGUGUUGGUGGUGGGGGGAAAUCAUUUCUUCUUCUUGGCUUCUUCAUCUUUUGCGGACUUUAACUCGAGAUGCCCCUCUGACUCUUAGAAAAUUCUAAAUUCUCCCAACAAUAAAAUAUAAUUUCUUUUUCAUUUAUUUUUAAAUACAAAACAGCGUUAAAGACAUCUACAACCUUAAUGAAAUCAGAUAAUUACAUAACCCGACCACAGAAACCCGACCACCCAAAUCCAUACGAGUACAACCCGGUUCCCAAACCUAAACGCUGCGUUUUAGACUCAUUUCUCAGGUUUCGUGCCUCUCUCUGUCUCUCCUGUUCUCGGCUUGCGACAUGUUUGAUUUGGAAACACUUCGCUCAAAAUCAUAAGCUAGGGUCCAUCAAAAAGUUGUCAGAUUCGAUUUCGCCGGUGAUUAAAUCCUCUUUCCCCAGAGUACCAUCGAUUUCGCCGGUGAGAAGGGCUUUGAUUUCUCUGUUUAGAUCUUGAUUCUGUAUAUGUCAAGAGAUCAAUGCCUCCAAGUGUUUUGUUAUGACGUUGAUUGAGAACUACCAGAAUCAAGAUGACAUUGAUAGGUUUUUUGAUGUUCUUCAGAACUUCUGUAGGUUUGUGGAUAACAGUGGUGGUGGAUCGGUGGUGGUGGAAGACUGGAAUGAGCAGUGGUAGAGGAGAGAGUGGUGGCAGAGGAAGAGAUAGUGGUACCAUGGUUGUUUUGGUGGUGAUAUAAGGAAGCUGGUAAAUAAUUGGACUUUAUUUUAUAACAUGAUCAAUGAGCAGGUGCAGUUUGGAUUAUAUUACAUGUAUGUUUACACAAUGGAUGAUAGGGUUUGGACGAAAAUGAAGUGUUAAGCUAUGUUUAUGGAGUUUAAUGUCUGAGAGCUACUGCUGCUUUAUUUUGUUCAAUGAGCAUUGAGCAGCUGCUUUAUUUUGUUUAAUGUUGUGUAUAUGUCUUUUUGUAUUAAUAAUCCAGUUCAAUGUUAACUAUGUUUAUGGAGAUUAA
This is a long non-coding RNA of Raphanus sativus (radish), 1337 nucleotides long. RefSeq lists it as uncharacterized. NCBI's taxonomy places the organism in Eukaryota, Viridiplantae, Streptophyta, Magnoliopsida, Brassicales, Brassicaceae. The record is from RefSeq and is a predicted model, not a curated record. The transcript has 2 exons.